RNAcentral lists this unclassified non-coding RNA (2002 nucleotides) under Hevea brasiliensis (rubber tree). The record is from RNAcentral. Lineage: Eukaryota; Viridiplantae; Streptophyta; Magnoliopsida; Malpighiales; Euphorbiaceae.
UUCGAACCAAACCAGAAUCUUACAAGCAUAUACGUAGCUGCUUUUCACGAGGAUGUGUAAUAUAUAAAUCCUCAAUCUAAAGUACUAUUUCUCAAGCCUUGUUCUGAAUGAAUUUAAUUCACUUAAACAAUGUCUCAGCAUUUUAGAAGGCAGUUUCUACUCAAUGAUCUUACCGAAUUCGCUCCAUAUUUACAUUACUACCAUACUCCAGCCUCUCUUAAGCCGCUUGCAUCUGUGCUGUGGACACAGGACUGGAGCGUGGCGUCUCGGUGACAUCUUCUUCUACCUCAUCGGUGGGAAGAUCAUCUGAAUGCAGUUUGGGUUGAUGGACACUUCGGACGAAUUCAGCAAAUGAAGGAAAGUGUUCUGGAGAGAAGAAGUAAGCUCCCAUUCUCUGGUAUGUGAACAACUCCACAUUCUCCCAAUCCAAAUUCUUCUUUAUCUGAUCGAAGCCCCCCUGAGGUCCUGAAUCGGAUGAGUUUUGUCCUGACAACAUUACGCCGUGCUUUCUGCUAGCGGACUUGAUUUGUGCUAUUAAUGACUCAGGGCUUGAUAACAAUUCUUGAGGAUGAUGUUGAUCUGAUAGGUCCAUUCCAGGCAAUAUCAUUUUGCUUGAGUUCCUUGCAAAUACUUCGGCGACAGCCUCGUAUCCAUCCCUGUUGGCGGUAUUGUAGAAUCCGGCUGUUAAUUCACUUGGGUGCGAUCUAGUUUUGUACCAAGUAUGCAUCAACGGAACCUUCCCAUGAAUGGUUGCUUCGGUGUUGCCAAAGACAGAUGAGGCAAGAGAGAGAAGGCGAUCGCCAUGAGCAAUUAGCUCACUAGAAUACCAGGAAAGGAAGAAAUCGCCAUAGUGAGACUCCCAUGAACCACCAUUAUCUUUGAAGAAAUUGUUUGAGUUUGGCAUUUCAUCAUAGCUCGGAGCAUCAUGGGGACCUCCGAGUCCAUACAAAGGAUUCCCGCUCGCUUCGGCAUGUUGCUUAAGAAGGCUAAGCAUGUUUUUAUCAUAGCACUGAAAUUCUCCAACACCAUGUGACUUUAGUUGUCGCUGAGAAGGAUAUCGAAGCUCACCAUCUGGUCCGAGACUCAUGGAGAUGCCCGAGAUUGUAGAGCCCAAGAAAUUUGAGAAUGAAGACUUGAAGCUCUCACAAAAUUCUUGGUAAACUUGGAUAGGAGUCUUCCCAUUCAGGACAGGAAGGUUAUCAACAGAGAGUGAUAUGCAAUCUUUAUAUUGCUGCCUGUAACGGUCGGUGAAGUAGAUGUUAGGUUCAGAUUCACCGAUCUUCGAGACCCAUUCGGGGAGAGGAAUUCUCGGUUGGUUAGACGCAUGGAAGCAAAGUGAAACAUGUAACUUGAGACCUGCAUUUUGGACCAUCUCCGCAAGGGCGAGAUAGCCCGACCAUUCAUAUUUCCCCAUGGUUUCUUUCUCAGCAAUUCCCCACCACACCGGAAGCUCGACACCUUCUACACCAAGCAACUUCAAAGCCUUAAGGCCAGCUGCAAUUGCCCUUGAAUGGUUAAUUGCAUUGCAGGUAGAAACUGCAUCUAAUGGCAAACCAACAUACAAUUUCACCCCCUCAAGAGAUUUAGAUCUUCUUCCAACGUUGAGGUUUUCAGAUUGAACUGGUUCCAUCUGCACGGCUUUCGUCGAUAAUCGGAUUCUUGACCUUUCACACCUCGAACUCCUCAUGAAACAGAUCUUCGACUUCGAACCAAAAAUCUUACUAUCUACUUUCGAAUUGAAAAACCCUAACUCCCUGUUGCCAAAAUCGGCUCCAGCGAUCUUCGCCUGAGAUUUUCCGAUCACUGAAACCUCCAUAAUUCGGGGGAAAAAGAAUGAAAAUGGGAAAUUCAAAUAAAAAUCUAACGAAAAAGUUCCACACGCGAGAAUCGAAGGGAAUUCGAAACGAGAAAAACAAGGAAACGAUUCCAAAAUCGAAGAGGAAAAUCGGAAGAAUUAUUGAGAAAUAAAGAUUCUCUUAAAAUGACGAACAAAUUAAGAUAG